UGGAGUCUCACUGCUGAGGAGCUUAUGGAGAAAAACUGUCCCUGUGAAGGAGAAGAUUGAGGAAAUACACUCUGGUCCCUGCUCCCUGCUCCUGGCCUGGUUGUUGCUGCCACCUCUCUUGGACGCUGGCCCGUCCCAGCCAGGUACACCACACUCUGGAGUGGACAGACACCAUGAGGGUGAUGGACUGAACAACAUCUUCAUCUUCCAGCUCCUUUAGCCUGUCAUUUUGCCUCUGCUAGGUACUGCAGAACUUUGAUGAGCAGCAAAUGGCAGCUGCAAAAUAAGAAAGAAGCAGUGAACUUCAUUACCAGCAGUUUUGGGGGGCAGAAAUCAGAAACA
This 342-nucleotide long non-coding RNA is filed under the name Anser brachyrhynchus (Pink-footed goose). Its description in RNAcentral is "lncRNA (ENSABRG00000002860.1)". Lineage: Eukaryota; Metazoa; Chordata; Aves; Anseriformes; Anatidae. The record is from RNAcentral.